This is a long non-coding RNA of Octopus sinensis (East Asian common octopus), 460 nucleotides long. RefSeq lists it as uncharacterized. NCBI's taxonomy places the organism in Eukaryota, Metazoa, Mollusca, Cephalopoda, Octopoda, Octopodidae. The transcript is spliced from 4 exons. The record is from RefSeq and is a predicted model, not a curated record.
UAUUUAAACGUGCAUGUAUGUGUGUGUGUGUGAACCUAGAACAGUUUAUUCACAAAGCUAGCAUUUUAAACUAGAUUGUCACUAGUGGACUGUCACAAUAUUACCACCAUGUCGUUGUUUAAUUGUUGUCGGAGAAAAGAUCCAGAAAUCGCUCCAUUGCCUCCAAUUGUGAAGCGAAACCAUUCCUACUGCGAAGUUGAUGUCAGCAAAAUGGAGCUGGACCCAACAAGCAGGGCAAAGCGGAAACGAAGGAUGAGGUAGGCGAAGACCACAAGAAGAGUAACAAUCCAGUCCAGGUGACCCAAUAGCAAAGGGAGCAGGUCAACACACAUUGGAGAGGUGGCAGUGAGCUGUGGUCACUUGACCAACAUCACCAUCAUCAUCAUUUGGCACCAUGUAAACUCAUCCGAUAUCAUUGUAUUGUUAUAGUAAAAGUCAUAGCCACACACACACACACACA